RNAcentral lists this long non-coding RNA (367 nucleotides) under Monodelphis domestica (gray short-tailed opossum). RNAcentral describes it as "lncRNA (ENSMODG00000041537.1)". Lineage: Eukaryota; Metazoa; Chordata; Mammalia; Didelphimorphia; Didelphidae. The record is from RNAcentral.
ACUUCCCUUAGCAGAAUGGGUAGAUGAGUACCACUUGUUCCAGUGACCAUGAAGGUGGAGGAAGCACGUGCUUAAAGCUUGGUCCUCUUCAAGUAGAAAGGAUAACCAAGAUAAACUCCAGCUGUAAAACUGUAAUCCUGUGGUCUGCAAAGCCUCCUUGUAACUUCCAUUCUUUUCUCCUAGUUCUCCUCUCUGGGGCCAAGCAGAACAAGACUUCCAUCUUCUUCAUGGAAGCCCAUCAGAUAUGUGAAGACGGCUACCAUGUUGGAGAAGGGGCAACCAGAUAUAGAAUACUGUGUCUGAAAUCAAGAAGACCUGAAUUCAAAUCCAGCCGCAGACACUUACUAGCUGGGUGAUCCUAGGCAAG